CCCUCCAAAACCUUACAAGAAAACCCGACCGACCCGGUGCUGCUUUGUCCCCGCCGUGCCCGCCCUGCCCGGCCCCGCCGCUCGCUCCCUGCCCGCGGCUCCGAGCUCCACCGGCGGCUCCGAGCCCAGGGCGGGCAGGGGAGCGCCCGCAGCCCCCCUCCCCGAGCCCACCUGCAGACCUGGCGAGGCGCAGCGGUCCCCCCGCUGCUGGCACACGAGCCGAAGUCCGGGCGAGCAGCGCUCCCGACCCGGCGAGACGCCGGCGCCUACAAACUCUACUUUGCCUCGCAGCCCCUCGGUGCCGGCGCGCAGCCCGGGGGCGGGCGGCUCCGUGCAGCGCCCCCCCUCCGCCACCUGCCCGGCGCCGCCCCGCAGCCUCCGGGGGCUGAGGGGAUCCGGGGGUGUGUGUGGGAUCCCGGCACGGCCCCACGGCAAGUUUGGGCACUUUCUCCGAGUGCCCCGGGGGGGCCGCCCCGCGCACCACUGACCUGCUCCGCGCAGCCUCGGCGCUGCUCUGCGCGGCUCGGCGGGGCGGGAGGAGGGCGCGGUGCGGUGCGGGANNNNNNNNNNGCUGCGCACCUGCGGCCGCCCCUCGGCUCCUCGGCCCCGGCUGCGGGCGGAGCCGUGCCGCCGCCGCCGCUCCGCAAGUUUGCGGCGUUCCGGGGCUGCCCUGCCUCCCCCGGCACCGCGCGGCCGCCGCAGGGAGGAGGAGGAGACGGCGGCGAGCAGGGCGCGGGCGGCUCCCGGUGGAAAGUUGCCGGCCGGGGGCUGGUCCCGAGCUGGGAGCCGGGGACCCCCCUCCCCGGGCUGCGUUGGGGUCGGGAGGCUCUCCUCUGCCGCGCUGGAGGCGCGGGCUGCCUGCCAGCCAUCUCCUCCGCCGGGCUGCCGGUGGCAGCGCGGCUGCAAAUGCGCCUGGUUGUGGGAGCCGCCGGGAAGGUGGGCAGCCCCCCGGCACAGCCCCCGGGGAGCGGCGGAGGCCGGGGCAGAGCUGCCGGCCGGUGCCCGCCAACAAAGGAGCCGAGCGGAUGCGCGGUGGCGGGGGCCAAGGUGCCUUGGCUGGGAGCGGGGAUGUGA
Molecule: long non-coding RNA, 1074 nt
Filed under: Anas zonorhyncha (Eastern spot-billed duck)
Lineage: Eukaryota; Metazoa; Chordata; Aves; Anseriformes; Anatidae
Description: lncRNA (ENSAZOG00000005938.1)
Source: RNAcentral